UAAUCACUUGUCUUUUAAAUGAAGACCUGUAUGAAUGGCAUAACGAGGGUUUAACUGUCUCCUUCCCCCAGUCAAUGAAAUUGAUCUGCUCGUGCAGAAGCGGGCAUAUAAACAUGGGACGAGAAGACCCUGCGGAGCUUUAGGCUAAGGAUCAAACAUGUAAAACAGACUUCUCUCUAAAAAACUACUAGUCCCAGAACCAAUCGUAACAUGAUUCAAAUGCCUUCGGUUGGGGCGACCGCGGGGGAAAACAAAGCCCCCACAUGGAAUGAAGACACCUUCCAAACUAAGAAUAACAACUCGAAGUAACAGAACAUCUGCCCAAAAAUGACCCAGGAUAAACCAAACCUGAUCAAUGAACCAAGUUACCCCAGGGAUAACAGCGCAAUCCUUUCCCAGAGUCCA
This 405-nucleotide ribosomal RNA is filed under the name Coloconger sp. PNG116. Its description in RNAcentral is "partial 16S ribosomal RNA". It matches the Rfam family "Bacterial large subunit ribosomal RNA", at positions 1962 to 2502 of the family's 2925-position model. The record is from RNAcentral. Lineage: Eukaryota; Metazoa; Chordata; Actinopteri; Anguilliformes; Colocongridae.